GCCGGGCGCAGUGGCGCGUGCCUGUGGUCCCAGCUAUUCAGGAGGCUGAGGCCGGAGGAUCUCUUGAGUCUAGGAGCUCUGGGCUGUAGUGCACUGUGCCAACCGGGUGUCUGCAGUAAGUUUGGCAUCAAUAUGGUGACCCCCUGGGAGCGAGGGACCACCAGGUUGCCUAAGGAGGGGUGAAUCUGCCCAGGUCGGAAACAGAGCAGGUCAAAACUCCUGUGCUGAUGAUUAGUGGGAUCUCGCCUGUGAAUAGCCACUGUACUCCAGCCUGGGCAACAUAGGAAGACCCUGUCUUU
This 299-nucleotide signal recognition particle RNA is filed under the name Cebus imitator (Panamanian white-faced capuchin). RNAcentral's name for it is "Metazoan signal recognition particle RNA (ENSCCAG00000014605.1)". It matches the Rfam family "Metazoan signal recognition particle RNA". Rfam says of the family: The signal recognition particle (SRP) is a universally conserved ribonucleoprotein. The record is from RNAcentral. Lineage: Eukaryota; Metazoa; Chordata; Mammalia; Primates; Cebidae.